GUGCAACUAAUUUACUUUGUUGCAAAAAAAAGUUUUUAAUCCACUUGAUACCCUUUCCCCUUUGCCCUAAUUUUCCUUGGAGGAGGCCGCGCGUGUAGGAGAUUUCGUUGUCAUGAUUUCCGACAAGGUAAGGUCUUCACCUCUCUCUUCCAACUCCGACGAGUCUCCCGACACUCGGCCGACGGCAACUGCCACUGGUCGACCGCGGGAACAUGCGGCUGGCCCUGGCGAGGGAGGAGUCUGAAGCACAAGAGGGAUUGCUCCUGGCGAGGGACAUCCGGUGAUGAUGUUGAGCGGAAGGCAUCAGUUAUGGUAUCAUCGUUAAAAUCAUCGUUGAAGGAAGUGUGUAGCCUAGAAGGCUUGAUGGAGAGAAUGGAGCUCUAUAUGAGCGAAAAAGUUGCAAGGAGGCCCUCAUUAGGAUGAGUCAAGUUUGCAAGGUUAGCAGCAGCUGAAACCUUUCAACUUACUCAUUGCAUUCACAUUUUACUGUUUAUUGAACUUUGUGUAAUGCUCAAUUUAUCCUAACAUGUUGUGGCUUCCCGAUUAGUUUCUCAAAGACCAACAGAUUGUUUGCUUGAUGAAUAAUUAUCAGUUGCAGUCCUUGUCCUUUGUACUGUGCCUUGGCUGGAACGUUAUGGAAGAAAUUGUAAUGGUUAUUUAAUUUAAUCUUGAUGUAAUCAUUGUAUGUAAAGUUUGUAGCUUAGUUAAUAUAUCAUACGUACUUCUUCACGGACUAAAACAUCAUCAGUGUGUUUCUUUUGAAGUUUGCUGGUGAUUCUUAUAUGUUAAAGAAAUUGUUAUUGCUAAAGACAGAUUUCUCAUUUCAUAUUUCAUAUUUCAUUAUUUAGAGCAUAGAUGAAGGAAGACUGAAAAUGAAAGCAAGCUGCCCAAUUGUAACCGAUCUCAGGUUGAAGGAAAAUGCAAUUAGAACUUAAUGAGCUAUAAUCCAAUGUGGCUCUGUGUUGGAUUGCAUAUAAUAUUUGGCGAUUACUCUUUUCUUUCUAAUGAAGAAGGAAAAUCAGAUGAAGAGUUUGUAUUUCUCGAGAUGGUAAUAGAAACACAAUUCUUUUCUCAAGUGGAACUUGCAAGAUCUUUUGCAUAUAAUAAGUUGGUUGAGGGCAUGCAUAAGACAGGUUAUCAUGAAGCUUUGGGAAGUGUGAUCUUGAAGAGAUUUUUGUUGCUUGUCGUUUCACUUGACAAAAGUUUCUAUCAAAAAUAAUGCAUGGGGAAGGAAAUCUUCUAGUACAUCUUCUCACUCUGGGUUACAAAGUGAAUCACCAGCAAGUAAUAUGGUUUCAUGUUCAUCCAAUUUUAUAGCCAUCUUUUGAAAAUGCUUUCAGCUACUUUUUGUUAUGCAGUUCCAUUUUUUGUUUACGCUUCUCAUUUGUGUGCUUUGUAUGUUUAACAAACAUCUCUUUACUAACAGAAUCCAAUUUCAGAAUAUGAGUUUAAUGUGAAAGAUUUAUCUGAAGAAAUUCAGGAUGGUGUAGUGCUUUCUAGGGCUAUUCAAGUAUUGCAAAAUGAUGCAUCUAUACUAUAAG
Zingiber officinale is the source of this 1541-nucleotide long non-coding RNA. RefSeq lists it as uncharacterized. Lineage: Eukaryota; Viridiplantae; Streptophyta; Magnoliopsida; Zingiberales; Zingiberaceae. The record is from RefSeq and is a predicted model, not a curated record. The transcript has 2 exons.